RNAcentral lists this unclassified non-coding RNA (147 nucleotides) under soil metagenome. Its description in RNAcentral is "partial internal transcribed spacer 1". The record is from RNAcentral.
CCGAGUUUACAACUCCCAAACCCCUGUGAACAUACCUAUAUGUUGCCUCGGCGGAUCAGCCCGCGCCCCGUAAAACGGGACGGCCCGCCGCAGGAUCCACAAACUCUGUUUUUAUCGUAACUUCUGAGUAACAAAACAAAUAAAUCA